Molecule: long non-coding RNA, 1444 nt
Filed under: Myripristis murdjan (pinecone soldierfish)
Lineage: Eukaryota; Metazoa; Chordata; Actinopteri; Holocentriformes; Holocentridae
Description: lncRNA (ENSMMDG00005000113.1)
Source: RNAcentral
AUGGCAAGCUUUUGGUGCACCUCGGCGAAGCCUUUUUGCACGAAACUGUCACUGCGCCAAGCUGAAUCUGUCGGCACCUCCCCCUGCUGCGCCGCCACUCCCAUCUCGGCCUACCUCGGCCUGUGAAACUUGGAAACUGUCCGCCUCUCCCGUUUCGCCGGUCGAAACUAGCUCUGUGCGGGGUUCGCCUCACUGCGCCACCCCGCGCUGCGCCGGGAAACUAGAGUCCUUAAUAACCAAUAAAUAAAACUUGGGUCUUGUGGUGAAAACAUGGCUUGGAGUGAAACCAUUUUGUUUCCGUUUAGAAGAACAAUCAGGCCAUUAAAGGACCAUACAAGUGAUUUAGAAUAUUUGACCCAUUUAUGAUAAUUUACCCACAUUUUACAUUACAACAAGUCAUUUUGCAAAUCAUGCAGGGGUACUAAAGAUUUCACAACAUACAAUCAAAAUCCCUUGAUUUUUAAAUAUGAAUUUUUGGUUGAAACACCCACCUCUGCUUCUGUCACUAACAGUAUCAUUGCCAUUCAUAAACCUUAGAACUGAUAAUUGGGUGUGUAAAACAGACUUUUGCCUUGAGACUAUUUACUGCCAGAGAGCCUGUCUCAUUCUGCCAAAUUUCAAGUGAAGACUAACGUAGACAACUUUAUUAUGAUAAUGGAAUACUGGUGUGAAGAAAGUUUGAAGCCUCUGAAAGUUCAUUUUCAUAUUGUAGUGGACUAAAUGGAAACCAAUAGCUGGUUAAAAGGUAGGAAAUGUGAUACCAGAGUUCCAAAAUACCACUGCUUGCUUUGGGAAAAGAUUAAAAAUAACGUAAAGUAUAUACAUUUUAUAGAUAUUAGGCUAAUUUGUUGAGGGAUGGAAGAGGAAUGGCAUCCUUUCAAUUGCCACUAACCAAAAAGUGAGAGUGCCAACUCUCCAAGAUGAAGUGAGUAGUUUUGCUGGAGUCAACCAAAAUUACCUGUUUCUCUGGGGAGAUGUCCUCUGAUGGCAGUGGGGCUUCAUCAUCCAAGAGUGGGACCAGCAAGAGGCCCUGGGCCCGGUCCCAGUACUGCAGGAUGUGGUCCACCUGGACCUGGUUUUGUUCAUAGGCCUGGAACUGAGACAGCAGGUCAUCUUCACUGGACUGCAGUGGAGAGAGCUGAGCAGAUGGGAAGAGGACCAAGAAUAAGAUCACAAUUCCUGUUCUCAGCGAGCAGCGGGUGCAGUCUGGAGAGGAGCAGAGAGGAGACCCUCACCACUCCGCGUCCACUCCGCGACACAAUUCCAGAAAAUGUCAAUCAUAUAAAACAAUACUAUGUUAAUAAAAAUAAUGCUUAGUAGUCUGUAGUAAAUUUGUAGUUCUAAAACAUAUGUCAUUGUUAUUUUUGCACUAUAAGCUAAAAUGUUGUAAAAUUAUGUUAUUUGGGUCAUUUUUGAAAUUUGCACAGAAUGAAAACAAACUGUG